This 465-nucleotide ribosomal RNA is filed under the name uncultured bacterium. RNAcentral describes it as "partial 16S ribosomal RNA". It matches the Rfam family "Bacterial small subunit ribosomal RNA", at positions 28 to 507 of the family's 1533-position model. The record is from RNAcentral.
GACGAACGCUGGCGGCGUGCCUAACACAUGCAAGUCGAACGGCAAGGCCCUGCUAGCUGGGUACUCGAGUUGGGAAGGGGUGGGUGAGACGGGGGUACUCCGCCAUGCACUUCGGCAUAAGCCUGGGAGAAUGGGUCUUAUCCCGAAUAGCACAUACUACCUGUGUGUUGAUUCGGAAGAUUUUUCGAUUUAGGGUGAGUUCGCGGCCUAUCGGCUGGUUGGUGGGGUGAUGGCUUACAAAGGCGGCGAGGGGUAGCCGGCCUGAGAGAGUGGGCGGCGGCAUUGGGACUUAGAUACGGCCCAGACGCCGACGGGAGGCAGCAGUGGGGAAUAUUGCACAAGGGGCGCAGGCCUGAUGCAGCGACGCCGCGGGUGGGAUGACGGUCUUCGUGUUGAAGACUACUAUCGCUAGGGACGAAGCUUUUUGUGACGGUACCUAGAUAAGAAGCACCGGCUAACUACGUG